UACGGAUCUUCGAAUCGAAAAAGUUUUUGACACAAAACGAAAUGAACGAUGCAUUUCGAUUGAAAAUAUUUAAUCAUACUCGCAGUGUUCACGGACAGUCCCGAGUCUGAUGACAUUUUGUAAGUGCACGGUGCAGCUAUCGUGGCCGUGCGUUUUGACGACUUCGACUUUCGAACGUCUUCCCAACCGUUUUCACGCUCAGAUUCUAUGUUUUCACAGGGAAUGGCCGGU
Molecule: non-coding RNA, 231 nt
Organism: Cinara cedri
Lineage: Eukaryota; Metazoa; Arthropoda; Insecta; Hemiptera; Aphididae
Source: the annotation of a GenBank genome assembly